GAUGAAGAACGCAGCGAAAUGCGAUACUUGGUGUGAAUUGCAGAAUCCCGCGAAUCAUCGAGUUUUUGAACGCAAGUUGCGCCCGAAGCCAUUCGGCCGAGGGCACGUCUGCCUGGGUGUCACGCAUCGUUGCCCCCCCCAAACUUCGGUUCGGGCGGGGCAGAAGUUGGCCUCCCGUGCGUGCCUGCGCGUGCGGUUAGCCCAAAAGCGAGUCCUCGGCGACGAGCGCCACGAAAAUCGGUGGUUUUUUUGCCCUCGUUCCUCGUCGUGCGUGCCCCGUCGCCCGAACGCGCUCUUGCGACCUUCACGCGUCGCCUCGGUGGCGCUCCCAACGCGACCCCAGGUCAGGCGGGACUACCCGCUGAGUUUAAGCAUAUCAUAAGCGGAGGA
Molecule: unclassified non-coding RNA, 390 nt
Filed under: soil metagenome
Description: partial contains 5.8S ribosomal RNA, internal transcribed spacer 2, and large subunit ribosomal RNA
Rfam family: 5.8S ribosomal RNA (bases 1-122)
Source: RNAcentral